UGCAGUCGAGGGGUACAGGGAUUAGUUUACUAGUCUGCUGACGACCGGCGCACGGGUGAGUAACGCGUAUACAAUUUACCUUUUACAGGAGGAUAGCCCAGAGAAAUUUGGAUUAAUACUCCAUGGUAUUAUCGGGUCGCAUGGUUUGAUAAUUAAAGUUUCGGUGGUAGAAGAUGAGUAUGCGUCCUAUUAGCUGGUUGGUAAGGUAACGGCUUACCAAGGCGACGAUAGGUAGGGGUCCUGAGAGGGAGAUCCCCCACACUGGUACUGAGACACGGACCAGACUCCUACGGGAGGCAGCAGUGAGGAAUAUUGGUCAAUGGAGGCAACUCUGAACCAGCCAUGCCGCGUGCAGGAAGACUGCCCUAUGGGUUGUAAACUGCUUUUAUACAGGAAGAAACUUAUCCACGUGUGGAUAACUGACGGUACUGUACGAAUAAGGACCGGCUAACUCCGUGCCAGCAGCCGCGGUAAUACG
RNAcentral lists this ribosomal RNA (478 nucleotides) under uncultured bacterium. RNAcentral describes it as "bacterial SSU rRNA". It matches the Rfam family "Bacterial small subunit ribosomal RNA", at positions 56 to 527 of the family's 1533-position model. The record is from RNAcentral.